CGGGGCGUAGCGCAGUCCGGUUAGCGCGCCACGUUCGGGACGUGGAGGCCCCCGGUUCGAAUCCGGGCGCCCCGACCA
RNAcentral lists this transfer RNA (78 nucleotides) under Candidatus Zhuqueibacterota bacterium. RNAcentral's name for it is "candidate division KSB1 bacterium (marine sediment metagenome) tRNA-Pro". It matches the Rfam family "tRNA". Rfam says of the family: Transfer RNA (tRNA) molecules are approximately 80 nucleotides in length. Their secondary structure includes four short double-helical elements and three loops (D, anti-codon, and T loops). Further hydrogen bonds mediate the characteristic L-shaped molecular structure. tRNAs have two regions of fundamental functional importance: the anti-codon, which is responsible for specific mRNA codon recognition, and the 3' end, to which the tRNAs corresponding amino acid is attached (by aminoacyl-tRNA synthetases). tRNAs cope with the degeneracy of the genetic code in two manners: having more than one tRNA (with a specific anti-codon) for a particular amino acid; and 'wobble' base-pairing, i.e. permitting non-standard base-pairing at the 3rd anti-codon position. Lineage: Bacteria; Pseudomonadati. The record is from RNAcentral.